GAGUUUGAUUAUGGCUCAGAUUGAACGCUGGCGGCAUGCUUUACACAUGCAAGUCGAACGGCAGCACGGAAGAGCUUGCUCUUUUGGUGGCGAGUGGCGAACGGGUGAGUAAUACAUCGGAACGUACCGAGUAGUGGGGGAUAACUGUCCGAAAGGAUGGCUAAUACCGCAUAUUCUCUGAGGAGGAAAGCAGGGGACCUUCGGGCCUUGCGCUAUUUGAGCGGCCGAUGUCUGAUUAGCUAGUUGGUGGGGUAAAGGCCUACCAAGGCGACGAUCAGUAGCGGGUCUGAGAGGAUGAUCCGCCACACUGGGACUGAGACACGGCCCAGACUCCUACGGGAGGCAGCAGUGGGGAAUUUUGGACAAUGGGGGGAACCCUGAUCCAGCCAUGCCGCGUGUCUGAAGAAGGCCUUCGGGUUGUAAAGGACUUUUGUUCAGGGAAGAAAAGCUUGAGGUUAAUACCCCUUGAGUGAUGACGGUACCGAGAANG
Molecule: ribosomal RNA, 490 nt
Filed under: Neisseria animaloris
Lineage: Bacteria; Pseudomonadati; Pseudomonadota; Betaproteobacteria; Neisseriales; Neisseriaceae
Description: bacterial SSU rRNA
Rfam family: Bacterial small subunit ribosomal RNA
Source: RNAcentral